This 867-nucleotide ribosomal RNA is filed under the name Amanita vernicoccora. RNAcentral describes it as "LSU rRNA". It matches the Rfam family "Eukaryotic large subunit ribosomal RNA", at positions 72 to 922 of the family's 3401-position model. Lineage: Eukaryota; Fungi; Basidiomycota; Agaricomycetes; Agaricales; Amanitaceae. The record is from RNAcentral.
GGAUUCCCCUAGUAACUGCGAGUGAAGCGGGAAAAGCUCAAAUUUAAAAUCUGGCAGUGGUUCACUGCCCGAGUUGUAAUCUAGAGAAGUGUUGCUCACACUGGACCAUGUAUAAGUCUUCUGGAAUGAAGCGUCAUAGAGGGUGAGAAUCCCGUCUUUGACAUGGACUCCCAGUGUAUUUGUAGCAUGCUCUCAAAGAGUCGAGUUGUUUGGGAAUGCAGCUCUAAAUGGGUGGUAACCUCCAUCUAAAGCUAAAUAUUGGCGAGAGACCGAUAGUGAACAAGUACCGUGAGGGAAAGAUGAAAAGAACUUUGGAAAGAGAGUUAAAAAGUACGUGAAAUUGUUGAAAGGGAAACGCUUGAAGUCAGUCACAUUGGCCAGGGAUCAACCCAAGCUUUUGAGUGUACUUCCUGGCUGAUGGGCCAACAUCAGCUUUGACUGUCAGAGAAGGGUAGGGGGAAUGUGGCACCCUUCUUGGGUGUGUUAUAGCCCUCUGUCAUAUAUGGCCGUUGGGGCUGAGGAAUGCAGCGCGCCACAAGGCCGGGCUUCGACCACGUUCGCGCUUAGGAUGUUGGCAUAAUGGCUUUAAUCGACCCGUCUUGAAACACGGACCAAGGAGUCUAACAUGCCUGCGAGUGUUUGGGUGGAAAACCCGAGCGCAUAAUGAAAGUGAAAGUUGAGAUCCCUGUCAUGGGGUGCAUCGACGCCCGGACCUGAGCUUUCUAGCAAUGGCUCUGCGGUAUAGCAUGUAUGUUGGGACCCGAAAGAUGGUGAACUAUGCCUGAAUAGGGCGAAGCCAGAGGAAACUCUGGUGGAGGCUCGUAGCGAUUCUGACGUGCAAAUCGAUCGUCGAAUUUGGGUAUAGGG